AGAUGGUCUAAAGACCUGGGGACACGGUGGAAAAUUCACUAUCAUCACUUCUUUCCAGAAGGAGUGAUUUGUACCUCUCUUCCUAAGUUCCCAAUUUGGUUUCCCAUUCUAGCUCAUGCAGGCUUUUAUUCAUACCUAAUUCUUGACUCAACUCCCUGGGCUCAACCAAUUGGCCUAACAUAUAUUGGGCAGUUGCAUUACCUGUCUCCCUCCUUAUUACUGCAGUAAUCAGCUAUGCACACUUAUUUGAAAUUAGCAUGAUUAAUAGCCCUCCACUUGACUCCAUUCAUACAAUCACAGAUAGCUGUGGUAAAAAUCAGCAGCAGAAAAAUACCAAGGAGAGGCUCUCUCAACAUUAAGAGAUAUUCCUAUUAGUGAAGUAAACUAAAUAUAUU
RNAcentral lists this long non-coding RNA (395 nucleotides) under Homo sapiens (human). RNAcentral describes it as "non-protein coding lnc-COMMD1-4:1". Lineage: Eukaryota; Metazoa; Chordata; Mammalia; Primates; Hominidae. The record is from RNAcentral.